AAAAAAGCGAAGAACAGAAAAGAUUAAAAGGGCGUUAAAGAGAGCUGAUGGAUGGUGUAAAUCAGUACAUAACUUUUAUGAAGAUGGUCUGGGAGCUGUUAUCUCGAAUAGUUAGGGAUAAACGUUAACUGCGUUAAAGUUUUGAGAGACACUUUGGUGUAAAAAAGGUGGUACCGCGUAUAUUUACGUCCUUUUA
Molecule: non-coding RNA, 196 nt
Filed under: Candidatus Stoquefichus
Lineage: Bacteria; Bacillati; Bacillota; Erysipelotrichia; Erysipelotrichales; Erysipelotrichaceae
Description: T-box sequence
Rfam family: T-box leader
About the family: Uncharged tRNA acts as the effector for transcription antitermination of genes in the T-box leader family. T-boxes are found upstream of many aminoacyl-tRNA synthetase genes and some amino acid biosynthetic genes usually in Gram-positive bacteria. The anticodon of a specific tRNA base pairs to a specifier sequence within the T-box motif, and the NCCA acceptor tail of the tRNA base pairs to a conserved bulge in the T-box antiterminator hairpin.
Source: RNAcentral